UACAGAGGGUGCGAGCGUUGUCCGGAAUCACUGGGCGUAAAGGGCGCGUAGGCGGCUUUUCAAGCGUGCGGUGAAAGCUCGGGGCUUAACUCCGAGUCUGCCGUGCGAACUGGGAGGCUUGAGUCUGGUAGAGGUCGAUGGAAUUCCGGGUGUAGCGGUGGAAUGCGUAGAUAUCUGGAAGAACACCGGUGGCGAAGGCGGUGGUCUGGGCCAAAACUGACGCUGAGGAGCGAAAGCCAGGGGAGCAAACGGG
RNAcentral lists this ribosomal RNA (253 nucleotides) under uncultured bacterium. RNAcentral's name for it is "partial 16S ribosomal RNA". It matches the Rfam family "Bacterial small subunit ribosomal RNA", at positions 524 to 776 of the family's 1533-position model. The record is from RNAcentral.